UCACGAAGUAGUUUUGAGCUAACUAUAGUAUAAUAUUAGUCAUUCUAUUUAGGGUGUGGUAUAAUCUUAAUACAAAUUAUAGUUAGGGGUGAUAGGCUUUUCAAAUACUAAGAUAUCUUGAAGCUAAUUAAAAGUAUAUAGUACAAUUAAUACAUCUAGAAAGUGUUUAGGCUUUCUAGAAUUAUAAAGCUAUACUAUUUUAAUUACUAUUAUAUAAGAAUUAAGUACAUUGGCCUUUUAAUAUUGAUUUAUUAAAGAUUAUAGAUGAAUAAUUAGUAAAGAUUCCAAAUACGGUAAAUUUGUUAUAAUGUUAAUAUUAGUAUUAAAUAUAAGUUUAUUCAAUGAACUCGGCAACAACGCUUUUCAACUGUUUAUCAAAAACAUAACUAUAUGAAAUUUCUAUAUAGCAAUUUCUGCUCAAUGAUUAUUUAAAUAGCCGCAGUAUACUGACUGUGCAAAGGUAGCAUAAUCAAUUGACUUAUAAUUGAAGUCUAGAAUGAAGGAAAGGGAUGGGAAGCUACUAUAUAAGAUAAAUAAAAAUAAUUUACUUUUGAAGUGAAAAUACUUCUAUGAAAAUAAUAGACGAGAAGACCCUAGAAGAUUUUAGAAGUAAAGAAUAAUAGCUUUGAAAUUUUUUGUUGGGGCGACAGAGUAACAUUUAAACCUACUUAUUUCUAUUUGAACAUUAUAUUUUGAUUGGAAUAAUUUACUCUAGGGAUAACAGCAUAAUUUUAUAAAGUUUGUGACCUCGAUGUUGGAUUAGGAAAUAAUAACUUAAAAGGUGUUUUAUAUUGCUCUGUUCGAGCAUAAACUCCUACAUGAUC
RNAcentral lists this ribosomal RNA (824 nucleotides) under Mandarina anijimana. RNAcentral describes it as "partial 16S ribosomal RNA". Lineage: Eukaryota; Metazoa; Mollusca; Gastropoda; Stylommatophora; Camaenidae. The record is from RNAcentral.